AGGCAGCAGUGGGGGAUAUUGCACAAUGGGGGGAACCCUGAUGCAGCGACGCCGCGUGGGUGAAGAAGCGCCUCGGCGCGUAAAGCCCUGUCAGCAGGGAAGAAAAUGACGGUACCUGAAGAAGAAGCCCCGGCUAACUACGUGCC
Molecule: ribosomal RNA, 146 nt
Filed under: uncultured bacterium
Lineage: Bacteria
Description: partial 16S ribosomal RNA
Rfam family: Bacterial small subunit ribosomal RNA
Source: RNAcentral